This 254-nucleotide ribosomal RNA is filed under the name uncultured bacterium. Its description in RNAcentral is "partial 16S ribosomal RNA". It matches the Rfam family "Bacterial small subunit ribosomal RNA", at positions 524 to 776 of the family's 1533-position model. The record is from RNAcentral.
UACGUAGGGGGCUAGCGUUGUCCGGAAUUAUUGGGCGUAAAGAGCUCGUAGGCGGUGUGUCGCGUCGGCCGUGAAAACCUGGGGCUCAACUCUGGGCGUGCGGUCGAUACGGGCAUCACUUGAGUUCGGCAGGGGAGACUGGAAUUCCUGGUGUAGCGGUGAAAUGCGCAGAUAUCAGGAGGAACACCGGUGGCGAAGGCGGGUCUCUGGGCCGAUACUGACGCUGAGGAGCGAAAGCAUGGGUAGCGAACAGG